RNAcentral lists this ribosomal RNA (467 nucleotides) under Buttiauxella izardii. RNAcentral's name for it is "bacterial SSU rRNA". It matches the Rfam family "Bacterial small subunit ribosomal RNA", at positions 22 to 482 of the family's 1533-position model. Lineage: Bacteria; Pseudomonadati; Pseudomonadota; Gammaproteobacteria; Enterobacterales; Enterobacteriaceae. The record is from RNAcentral.
GCUCAGAUUGAACGCUGGCGGCAGGCCUAACACAUGCAAGUCGAGCGGUAGCACAGGGAGCUUGCUCCUGGGUGACGAGCGGCGGACGGGUGAGUAAUGUCUGGGAAACUGCCUGAUGGAGGGGGAUAACUACUGGAAACGGUAGCUAAUACCGCAUAACGUCGCAAGACCAAAGAGGGGGACCUUCGGGCCUCUUGCCAUCAGAUGUGCCCAGAUGGGAUUAGCUAGUAGGUGGGGUAAUGGCUCACCUAGGCGACGAUCCCUAGCUGGUUUGAGAGGAUGACCAGCCACACUGGAACUGAGACACGGUCCAGACUCCUACGGGAGGCAGCAGUGGGGAAUAUUGCACAAUGGGCGCAAGCCUGAUGCAGCCAUGCCGCGUGUAUGAAGAAGGCCUUCGGGUUGUAAAGUACUUUCAGCGAGGAGGAAGGCAUUGUGGUUAAUAACCACAGUGAUGACGUACUCGC